RNAcentral lists this ribosomal RNA (433 nucleotides) under uncultured bacterium. Its description in RNAcentral is "partial 16S ribosomal RNA". It matches the Rfam family "Bacterial small subunit ribosomal RNA", at positions 29 to 507 of the family's 1533-position model. The record is from RNAcentral.
AACGAACGCUGGCGGCAUGCCUAACACAUGCAAGUCGAACGAGACCUUCGGGUCUAGUGGCGCACGGGUGCGUAACGCGUGGGAACUUGCCCUUAGGUUCGGAAUAACUCCCCGAAAGGGGUGCUAAUACCGGAUAAUGUCUUCGGACCAAAGAUUUAUUGCCUUUGGAUGGGCCCGCGUUGGAUUCGCUAGUUGGUAGGGUAAAAGCCUACCAAGGCGACGAUGCAUAGCUGGUCUGAGAGGAUGAUCAGCCACACUGGGACUGAGACACGGCCCAGACUCCUACGGGAAGCAGCAGUGGGGAAUAUUGUACAAUGGGCGAAAGCCUGAUCCAGCAAUGCCGCGUGAGUGAUGAAGGCCUUAGGGAAGUAAAGCUCUUUUACCCGGGAUGAUAAUGACAGUACCGGGAGAAUAAGCUCCGGCUAACUCCGUG